AUACGUAGGUGGCAAGCGUUAUCCGGAAUUAUUGGGCGUAAAGAGGGAGCAGGCGGCAGCAAGGGUCUGUGGUGAAAGCCUGAAGCUUAACUUCAGUAAGCCAUAGAAACCAGGCAGCUAGAGUGCAGGAGAGGAUCGUGGAAUUCCAUGUGUAGCGGUGAAAUGCGUAGAUAUAUGGAGGAACACCAGUGGCGAAGGCGACGAUCUGGCCUGCAACUGACGCUCAGUCCCGAAAGCGUGGGGAUCAAAUAGGAUUAGAUACCCUAGUAGUCCACGCCGUAAACGAUGAGUACUAAGUGUUGGAUGUCAAAGUUCAGUGCUGCAGUUAACGCAAUAAGUACUCCGCCUGAGUAGUACGUUCGCAAGAAUGAAACUCAAAUGAAUUGAAGGG
RNAcentral lists this ribosomal RNA (391 nucleotides) under uncultured bacterium. RNAcentral's name for it is "partial 16S ribosomal RNA". It matches the Rfam family "Bacterial small subunit ribosomal RNA", at positions 523 to 917 of the family's 1533-position model. The record is from RNAcentral.